GUACCUGCCUUGUUCUGGCACAGGGACACGUUCUCCUGGCACGGCGGGGCUGCAGAGGAUGAAGAUGAGGAUGAGGAUGAGGACAAGGGCUGUGCUUCGCUCCUGCCCUCCUGGCGAGGUCUGGCCGGGCUCGCCGCCGGGCGCACGGAGCAGCCCAGGGGCUCUGGCUAUAAAUAGUGGCCUUUCUCUGGGCUCUUCCCUCCUCAGGAGGUGCAGAGAGCAAGGUUUUGGCCCUACAAAGCAAAAGGAAGAACCCAGCGGGGAAAUCAGGGAGCUGAGACUGAGGGACCUUCGGAGGGGAGAGCCUGAAGUUGGCACCAGGAGAAAAAUCGUGACCUUUGCAGGAGUCCAGAACCGUCACCGCCCCCCCGGAGCCGUGUUUAUGUGAGAUAAAUCAUGGGGGGCAGCAGUUGGAGAGGUGGCACACAAUUUAUGCAGAGGUCCAGACGUGCUGGGAGGAGAAGAGGCGAAGAAGGCGAGCGCCGGGAACGGGAUGAAAACGCGCCUUGCGUCGGGGAGGACGAGGGGAGGAUGGAUCUGCUGCUCGUGCACUGCGGGCACCUCAGGGAGAAGAAAACCUUGACUGCAGCCUGAAAUUUGGGGCGCAACCGAAGCCGUGGGGGCAGAGCCUCCUCCUUGUCACCUCCGGGAGCUGAGCUGCGUGGAUCCGAGCUGGAGGCAGAGCCCCCAGCCUGCUGCUGGCUGCCAAAAACCUCUUCGGAGACCAGGAUCCAUCCAGGGGCAGUGCCUGGCUUGGGGAGCGUGAUUUCAGCCCCAGAAUUUGGGGCCCUGCAGCCUCGGGGGAAAACAGGAGAGGGCUCCAGGGGUGCUGAGUGAGGCUCUGGAUGUGCUGAGCGAGGCUCCGGAUGCGAUGCUCACAGCUCUGGCACUUUGUGGAAGCUCCUGGUGAUGGGGGGAUCACACAGAGCCACACCACGGCGAGUCCCCCCCUCCCUGCGCAGUGCCGGGCGGCUUUGCGCACAGAUGGCCGGUCUCAAAUUUUGCAACAGCAGCGCCGAGUCCUUGGACCGCCUGUACCCGGCCGUGGGGUCCUCCAAACCUCCCCGAAAGCGCACCACGAGCCAGUGCAAGUCGGAGCCGCCCCUGCUGAGGACCAGCAAGAGAACCAUCUACACGGCGGGCCGGCCGCCCUGGUACAACGAGCACGGCACCCAGUCCAAGGAGGCCUUCGUCAUAGGUAGGCAAAAACAGCCCAAAUUUCUCCGGCAGCAU
This 1233-nucleotide long non-coding RNA is filed under the name Anas platyrhynchos platyrhynchos (common mallard). RNAcentral's name for it is "lncRNA (ENSAPLG00000020999.1)". Lineage: Eukaryota; Metazoa; Chordata; Aves; Anseriformes; Anatidae. The record is from RNAcentral.